CUUAUUUCUGUCCUUUGAAUCUAUAAGUGAUGGGAAAAUCUCUCUAUGUUUCCCUUGUGUUGCAUUCAAAACCUAAUGAGGAUAUGCUAUUAUGGAUUACCUGUACAUUUUAGCUAGCAAUAUUACAAUUCUUUUAUUUACAAACUUGUUUGGUCAUCAUAGGAGGAGACAGGUAAUAUUUGAGAUGUUUCAUCCUAAAAUACCCAUGAAACUGCACAGAAAGAGUGAAAAAAAGAAGGAAAAUAAAUGUAAAUUUAAGAUGGAGACAGACCAUGUGCUUAAAUCCAUAGGGAAUGUCUACUACUGUGAUUGUCAGUGGGAUGGGUUGAGAAGCAUAUUCUCAAGAUUACAAGAUGCAUGGCUCACAAACGGAACCAGAGAAGCCCAGCUGGUGCUGAAGGAGAAUGGGAAGCAAGUACCCCUAGCCCCCAUCAUUUGCUCCCAACUACUUCAGGAACGUGGAGAUACACCGGCCAGAAAAGCAAACAUUCCAGCUGGGAAGAAGCUGCCUUCUGAGCCAGCCAGAGAUAUAAAACUUGGAGGAGCUGUAAUUGCACAUCGAUCAUCUUUAACUUUCCUACACUGACUGCUCAUAGGGAGUGAGCUGAAGAUUAAAUCCUGAAGCCUGCCCCAUUUGGAGAGCAGCAGCCUGGUUUCUGGUGGCCACAGCAGCAG
This 675-nucleotide long non-coding RNA is filed under the name Capra hircus (goat). Its description in RNAcentral is "lncRNA (ENSCHIG00010007680.1)". The record is from RNAcentral. Lineage: Eukaryota; Metazoa; Chordata; Mammalia; Artiodactyla; Bovidae.